GGCUAGUUGGUCUAGGGGUAUGAUUCUCGUUUAGGGUGCGAGAGGUCCCGGGUUCAAAUUCCGGACGAGCCC
Molecule: non-coding RNA, 72 nt
Organism: Danio rerio (zebrafish)
Lineage: Eukaryota; Metazoa; Chordata; Actinopteri; Cypriniformes; Danionidae
Source: Rfam